GCAUGGCUAGCUCAGUUGGUAGAGCAUGAGAGUCUUAAUCUCAGGGUUGUGGGUUUGAGCCCCAUACCGGGCA
Molecule: non-coding RNA, 73 nt
Organism: Corvus hawaiiensis (hawaiian crow)
Lineage: Eukaryota; Metazoa; Chordata; Aves; Passeriformes; Corvidae
Source: the annotation of a RefSeq genome assembly